This 74-nucleotide transfer RNA is filed under the name Hyphomicrobiales bacterium. RNAcentral describes it as "Rhizobiales bacterium (bioreactor metagenome) tRNA-Gln". It matches the Rfam family "tRNA". From Rfam's summary of the family: Transfer RNA (tRNA) molecules are approximately 80 nucleotides in length. Their secondary structure includes four short double-helical elements and three loops (D, anti-codon, and T loops). Further hydrogen bonds mediate the characteristic L-shaped molecular structure. tRNAs have two regions of fundamental functional importance: the anti-codon, which is responsible for specific mRNA codon recognition, and the 3' end, to which the tRNAs corresponding amino acid is attached (by aminoacyl-tRNA synthetases). tRNAs cope with the degeneracy of the genetic code in two manners: having more than one tRNA (with a specific anti-codon) for a particular amino acid; and 'wobble' base-pairing, i.e. permitting non-standard base-pairing at the 3rd anti-codon position. Lineage: Bacteria; Pseudomonadati; Pseudomonadota; Alphaproteobacteria; Hyphomicrobiales. The record is from RNAcentral. RNAcentral also lists the same sequence under 6 other names.
UGGGGAAUAGUUCAAUGGUAGAACAGCGGACUCUGACUCCGUUAAUCUAGGUUCGAAUCCUAGUUCCCCAGCCA